GAAAUGCGAUAAGUAAUGUGAAUUGCAGAAUUCAGUGAAUCAUCGAAUCUUUGAACGCACCUUGCGCUCCUUGGUAUUCCGAGGAGCAUGCCUGUUUGAGUGUCAUGGAAUUCUCAACUCUAUUUGCUUUUGUGAAUAGAGCUUGGAUUUGGAGGUUUAUUGCUGGUACUUGUGAUCGGCUCCUCUUGAAUGCAUUAGCUCGAACCUUUGCGGAUCAGCUAUCGGUGUGAUAAUUGUCUACGCCGUUGCAGUGAAGCAUAUCAAUGGGCUCGGCUUCCAAUCGUCCUUUACUGGACAAUGACUUUGACCUUUGACCUCAAAUCAGGUAGGAUUACCCUCUGAACUUAAGC
Molecule: unclassified non-coding RNA, 350 nt
Filed under: plant metagenome
Description: partial contains 5.8S ribosomal RNA, internal transcribed spacer 2, and large subunit ribosomal RNA
Rfam family: 5.8S ribosomal RNA (bases 1-105)
Source: RNAcentral